UAGGGAUAACAGAGUCGUCACUCGCAAGAGCACAUAUCGACCGAGUGGCUUGCUACCUCGAUGUCGGUUCCCUCCAUCCUGCCCGUGCAGAAGCGGGCAAGGGUGAGGUUGUUCGCCUAUUAAAGGAGGUCGUGAGCUGGGUUUAGACCGUCGUGAGACAGGUCGGCUGCUAUCUAUUGGGGGUGUCAUGGUAUCUGACGGGAACGUCCGUAUAGUACGAGAGGAACUACGGAUGGUCGCCACUGGUGUACCGGUUGUCCGAGAGGGCACGUGCCGGGCAGCCACGCGACACGGGGUAAGAGCUGAACGCAUCUAAGCUCGAAACCCACCUGGAAAAGAGAUACCGCCGAGAUCACUCGUAGAAGACGAGAUCGAUAGACUCGGGGUGUACGCGCCGAGGUGACGAGGCGUUUAGCCCGCGAGCACUAACCGAUCGAAGC
Molecule: ribosomal RNA, 440 nt
Filed under: Halorientalis regularis
Lineage: Archaea; Methanobacteriati; Methanobacteriota; Halobacteria; Halobacteriales; Haloarculaceae
Description: bacterial LSU rRNA
Rfam family: Archaeal large subunit ribosomal RNA
Source: RNAcentral